CCUACGGGAGGCAGCAGUGGGGAAUAUUGCGCAAUGGGGGAAACUCUGAUGCAGCCACGCCGCGUGAAUGAUGAAGGCCUUCGGAUUGUAAAGUACUUUCAUCGGGGAAGAAGAGAGUGAAGGUACUUCCGGUAUACACCUCGGCUACCUGCGUGAGAGCCGCCGCGGUACUCCGUAGGAGCCAAGCGUUAUACGUAAUGACUGGGCGCAAAGGGCGGGAAGGCGGUUUGGAAAGUGGGUAGAGAAACUCCGGGGCUCAACCUGGGAACUCCUACCGACACUGGCGGACUUGAGUGCUGGAGCGGCAAGUGGAAUUCCUAGUGUAGCGGUGGAAUGCGUAGAGAUUAGGAGGAACACCAGUGGCGAAGGCGACUCGCUGGACGGUAACUGACGCUGAGGCACGAAAGCGUGGGGAGCAAACAGGAUUAGAUACCCUAGUAGUC
RNAcentral lists this ribosomal RNA (443 nucleotides) under uncultured bacterium. RNAcentral's name for it is "partial 16S ribosomal RNA". It matches the Rfam family "Bacterial small subunit ribosomal RNA", at positions 338 to 795 of the family's 1533-position model. The record is from RNAcentral.